Molecule: long non-coding RNA, 2377 nt
Filed under: Homo sapiens (human)
Lineage: Eukaryota; Metazoa; Chordata; Mammalia; Primates; Hominidae
Description: HSALNT0028599
Source: RNAcentral
AUUUUGGACAAAAUUAAGCUUCCAAAAAACAUUUGUUCAGUUGGGUUUAAUUGUGCACCUCAGGAUGCCUCCCUCCUAAGGAUUUUGUCUCUCCUCAGGGUUUUGCAGUGCCCUGACUGAAGUGUCAGGCAUUUCUCUCUCUCCCCUUCCUAGGAUCUUUCACUUCUCCUGUGCCCACUGUAUUUCCUAGCAAUAGUUCUGUUUCCCAUCCUGGGAACUCUGAAUCUCAGGGAAUCCAGGAACACCAGACAGCUUCGUGGCUUUGGGAGGAUCAGCUCUUUGACAUUCUGUUGUGUCUCUUUUCAGAAACAAAGCUCCAAAUUUGGAAGCAGCAGUGAAACUCCACAGAUUACUGAGGGCAAAAUUGCUGGGUCAUAUGCAGUGAAAAGAAAGAAAAAAAGACUAAGCCAGGAAACCUCUUGAAGGCCCAGAGAAGUAGGCACGUAUAUAAGAUGCCCAGACUGGAGCUGCCACAUAGGAGACACUUGGUGAGCUCUCAAGGAAGAUUGGAUGUCUAUGGAGAAUCCACGUACCUAUAUCAUAUUAGUUGGAGCAAAACACAGACUCUGGGAUGAAAGGCAAAAGUGUUAUAAUGAGGCCAAUGGAAUGUGCUGAAUCCGUUCCUCAAAGAAAAACAAAACCAAAUAUCUCUCCAAGUCUGGAUUAUACCAGAGUUUCCAAAUCAUAAACAACCAAUGAAAAAGGGAUCAUAUCAUUAUGCGUUUCUACAAGGCCUUACUGAGGUAAGAUGAUGGAAUAAUGAUGACUGCGUUUUUUGGAGGAAGCUUAUCGUGCCCUGUGAGAGAGUUUAAAUGUGUAUUUAGUGUUUGAAAGACUUCCCACAUAUGAGAGAGACACUCAACAAAAAGUAAUUGUGUCUUGAAUAAUUUUUACACCACCGACAGAGACAAAAAAUGACCAUCUAUUUAUAUUUCUAAGAAUUAUUCUUUUUCAUUGUGUUCAUAAAAUGUGGUUUCUUGAAUGUCUAGAAGAAAUGUCAUCCCUAAAUAUUUAAUAAUAUUGGGUUUCCAACUUGAAAAGAAGAAAAAAUUGAAAGAAAAAGAGAAUACUUUCAGUGGCAAUUAUUUGAAUUUUUGAUGCCUGCUUCCUUUUCCAAAGACAGUAAUUGCUUCUUAACAAAUUAAUCUGGCUGUAUAUAUUCAGCUUUCUGGUUAGCCUUUGCCAUUUUCAUCUGGUGAUGUCCCUUUUAUAAAAUUUAUGGGGCUCAUUUUAUAAAAUUGUGGAGAUUUGCUUAGUAUGUUUGGAAUUGGUAUGUCUUUCUCUCUCUAGCUCUGCUCUCGGAAUAGCUCUAACCCCCCCAAAAGGGCAAGAACCGGUUUUAAUAAUGCAGAAUUAUGCCUCUUUACUAACUACUGAAUACGCUUUAUUUCGGAUGCCAAACCAGGUACUCAGAAGUUUAACAUCAUAAAUCUUAAAAUCAUAAAUCAGACAAGGUAACUUUCUAGUAUAUGUUUCAUGAUGAAAGGUAAAAUACUAAUGGUGCUAUAUAAACAUGACAUUCUCUAAAUUGAAUAUAGUGUGCAAUUUUCAUGGCUUUGUUUUAAAAUUUAAUGCUUGAGAAUAAUCAUUUUAUUUAUUGGGCCUCUAAACUAAGUGCAUUUAGGCAGUGAAGAAAGUUGUUUGGUACCAGGUAAAUGAGCAGGUUUCUUUCUUCACUGGAAGACAAACUUCUGAAUUACUGAUAGGCAUUUCAGUCUUAACAAAAGCUACACUUACAAUUUUCUGAACAAUUGUUGUGAGAUUUCACACAUUGAUCAAAACACUGAUUCAAAAUACUCUCAUUGUAAUUGGUUUGUGGCCCUUUUGUACCUUUUUGCUGCUACUGGACCAUUGCUGGCCACUGGACCAAUGUCAAGUCAUGUUUUGGUGUCUUCUCUUUGGAGAAAUCAAACCACUCCAUGAACAUUGACACCUACAUGGCCUUUUUCAACAAGUUAGCCAUUGGUUCACAACCAAUUCUGGUUCUUGCUCUAAUAUUAAUUAUUUUGUGUUACUGAUCAAGUUGAUUAACUGCUCAGGGCUCUAGUUUUCUUAUUUAUAAAAUGCAGGGGUCUGAUGGUGUUUUCUAAAAUCCUUUCCAGCUCUGAAAUGCUAUCACUUUAUAGGAUCAAAUGAAAUAAUAUUAAGUACUGUCUGAACACAGAGGCUAAUAAUGUAGAUGAAGCUGAUAAAAGGAGGGAAAAGGGUUGAAAGUUUUCACCUAUUUAGCCACAGAAUUAUUAAUUAUGCCAGGAUUUCAAAUAUUCUCUGCUAAGAGGAAGGAGUGCCAGGGAAUGAUCUUUAAUAACAUGGUUCUACAAUGCUACUCAUUUUCUAUAAUAUAUAUUUAAGAUUGAUAUUGCUAUUUCUGGCACCU